Molecule: long non-coding RNA, 1931 nt
Organism: Oncorhynchus keta (chum salmon)
Lineage: Eukaryota; Metazoa; Chordata; Actinopteri; Salmoniformes; Salmonidae
Exons: 4
Source: RefSeq, a predicted model, not a curated record
UUUACAGGAAUCUGAUAAAUGACAUGGGUGAGGUAGAUGCUUGGCUUGCCCCACAGCUGCGCCAGUUGCUCUCUGCAGGCCAUAAUGAGAUGGCUGCUAUGAAGCCAGGGACUAGCAAGCAGAUCACCAACCACAAGAUGUCUGAAGAGGCUGGGGCUGAACCAUCAUAUGACUUGGAUGAAGAGGCUGCCCUGCACGUCUACAGAGGAAUGGAGAGGCUGAAACUGAAUAGGACCUACAGGCUGAGAUGAAGAGUUGGAUCCAGAUACUAAGAGAUGCAUUACCCACCAGGUACAGUGUCUCACCCUCUUGAGUAUUGUCCUUUAAACGUUUAGAAAUUAGUCACACACACAAGUAUACAGCAGUAAUUAUUUAUUGUACAGCUUAGCCUUCAUGUACAAUAUUUACUUGUUACCAUGUCUCUUGUUUCCAUAAUCAUUGUACAAAGCACAAUAUUAAAACAUUUUCACCCAGUACUUCAAAUCAUGACCUUCAUCAGAUUAUUCUAGUACUUUAUGUUAGAGUAUUCCCUUCCCGGUUUAAACCUUUUGUCUAAUUUGUACAUGCUGCUCGACCCUUUCCGCUAAUGGCCAAGAACCAAGGGUUUACACCGAAGAGAAAGAAGACUGACCGCAAUCCCAGUCAGAGAAUUUCAGACGAGCCAAGAUCCGCAUAAAGGGACCAGUUUGUAGACUACAUUUGAAACUUGAAGUUGCAGUGUAUAAAAUGUAUACAAAUCCAAUGUAUGAGAAGUGUUUUGCAGGCAUUACUUACACCUCCUGCAGAAACAUCUGAGAGGUAUACUACAAAGCAGAACCAAUGAGUUAGCCAGCUUACUUUGAUUAAAAACCAGAAAUAACUGUUGAUUUUCUGAAUAAUUUAGAAAAAUAAACUUAGGUUGAGUUAAUUAGACCAUAGCCCAUUUCAAGCUUAGUUAUUUAUUAGUUCAGAAUAUUGAGGCAAGUUAUCUGGCUAACUCCUUGAUCCUGCUUUGUAGUGUGUAUGCUGAUAUGAUAUACAGUAUUUGAUAGCAAAAUUGACAACUUGUAUAAUUUAACUAGUGUCAAUUAUGGAUAAAAUUGAAUUCCAAGUAUAUUUUUGAAAAAAAACCUACAUUAAAAUCUUGAAUGUAUUCCAGGUUCGUGAAGUCUGUUGUGAGGAGACAAGAUACAGUGGAGAGCUGUGCUGGACUUAGUGUCAAACUCAAAUAACCAACCAAACCGUUUCCACACAUUUGCAAGUAAAUUACACAAUCACUGAUAGCUAGCUGUAUGGGGUGUCAUGCCUUCAAGGAAGACUGUUGCCAGUUUCCUCUGGAGUAGAUUUGUGAUUUGUCCAGUACAUAAAAUACCAACAUACAGUUCAGGUUUAAUGUUCAGAGUCUGUUACUUUACUGAUGUACUGUCUGUGAUAUUACUCUGACAAACUGCUAUGAGGUUAAGUAAUCUGCCUUGUGACAUAAGAUGGUAUGAUACUUAAAGUUAAGGUGAUCAAGGAUUGUUUUUCUGUGAUUAUGUAAAUAUUUGAUUUUAAAGGCAGAGUGUGUACUGAAACCUACAUAUGCAUGCACAUGAAUGUCUGAUCUAGGACGGUGAAAGCCCUGCAAGAUAAAAUAAAGAUCCAAACUAGACAAGCAUGAAUUAAGAUUUCAGAAGAAAGUCGAGCUCGUGCCCUGCCCCGGGGACUUGUACGUCACGUUAGUGUGUUUCAUCGGACCACCAAAGCCAGCCCUCCCAGUAAGCAGCACAGUUUACUGGAGUGUAUUCAUUAGUCAGAUUCUGUGAGAAGCGAUCUUACUCUAGGAAGCAAACAUAUUAAACGGGGAGGGACGUCCAUGAAUUUGUCCAGUUGUAACUUGUUUUUGUUGCAUAACGUUUUCUGUUUGGAGUGAAGUUUUCAUUGCAACUAAUGAAAACACCUCUGGGGUCUCA